AGGUCAUUUCAAAGAGGGCUUGUGGAACCUGAAACCAAGAGCUCUUAACGCUGUGACCAAAGAUUGAUGUUCUCUACAGGAUGCCACAGUGGCUUAGUAGUGCUGUGUUGUCCUGAGGAGAUACAUAU
This is a small nucleolar RNA of Ochotona curzoniae (black-lipped pika), 128 nucleotides long. RefSeq annotates it as small nucleolar RNA SNORA25. NCBI's taxonomy places the organism in Eukaryota, Metazoa, Chordata, Mammalia, Lagomorpha, Ochotonidae. The transcript has a single exon. The record is from RefSeq and is a predicted model, not a curated record.